This 405-nucleotide ribosomal RNA is filed under the name Salmonella enterica subsp. enterica serovar Oranienburg. RNAcentral's name for it is "bacterial SSU rRNA". It matches the Rfam family "Bacterial small subunit ribosomal RNA", at positions 1129 to 1533 of the family's 1533-position model. RNAcentral also lists the same sequence under 3 other names. Lineage: Bacteria; Pseudomonadati; Pseudomonadota; Gammaproteobacteria; Enterobacterales; Enterobacteriaceae. The record is from RNAcentral.
GGUCGGGAACUCAAAGGAGACUGCCAGUGAUAAACUGGAGGAAGGUGGGGAUGACGUCAAGUCAUCAUGGCCCUUACGACCAGGGCUACACACGUGCUACAAUGGCGCAUACAAAGAGAAGCGACCUCGCGAGAGCAAGCGGACCUCAUAAAGUGCGUCGUAGUCCGGAUUGGAGUCUGCAACUCGACUCCAUGAAGUCGGAAUCGCUAGUAAUCGUGGAUCAGAAUGCCACGGUGAAUACGUUCCCGGGCCUUGUACACACCGCCCGUCACACCAUGGGAGUGGGUUGCAAAAGAAGUAGGUAGCUUAACCUUCGGGAGGGCGCUUACCACUUUGUGAUUCAUGACUGGGGUGAAGUCGUAACAAGGUAACCGUAGGGGAACCUGCGGUUGGAUCACCUCCUUA